CCAGCCCUGUGCUCUCACUGUCGUGAGCUCUGCCGUGCCCUUCCCAGCGUGAUGGAUUGUAUCCUCCAACUGUGACCAAAAUCAACACUCCGUCCCUCCAGCUUCUUGUUGGAUUUUGGUCAAAACAACAAUAAUACAAAAGGAAAUAUCAUCAAGCUUGUUCGAACAAUUCACCAAGCAGAGCCCAUCCACUUUCUUAGCUCUGCAUCAUAGAAUACAGCACAGACUCAGACCACUGCCGGCACUAAAAAGUAAAUUUGGGCUCCGAAUGCUAACAGCAGACCUGACCCUAUUAGUGAGAGGUUGCUUGGGUUUUAAGCAACUUCUUUAAGUAUUUGGCUCAUCCUCAGAUGUAUCUAAUGUGAUCCAGAAUCUUCCAUCGUCCACUGCUAGAAACAGUCCAACGAAAUUUGUCUUCCAGAGGGCCCAGGCCACUCAAAUACCUAGUGCACCAUUUUGGAGAAUUGAAAAUGUCUCAGAGCUAAAAAGUGCUUCACCACAGAGAGAGGUGGACACGGGACAGACGCUGGACAAUUUCAUCAGGUGAGGCCCUCCCUGCAGGAAGAGUGUUGGGAUGGUCACAGUGUUCCCUGGAUCUAGUCUCAUAGACUGAUUCAUAAUAAUCAGGGUUGUGGUCGGUUGACAUAUAAACCCAGAAGGCAAGUCAUUCUCCAUUAAAUUAGUAACAGGAAGAUACAAAUGACUGAGCAAAAAAACAAAAAACAAAAACAAAAACAAACAAAAAAAAAAACAUUAAGAAAAUAGGACCCGGGUCCUGACCCUUGAUCUGGAGUGUGAGAAGAAGGGAGAAUUGAAACUAUGGUGGGCUGGCUAGAGCUCGUGAUAGGAUAUGAUGUGGUAGUUUGAAUGUAA
This is a non-coding RNA of Peromyscus maniculatus bairdii (prairie deer mouse), 873 nucleotides long. Lineage: Eukaryota; Metazoa; Chordata; Mammalia; Rodentia; Cricetidae. The record is from RefSeq and is a predicted model, not a curated record.